RNAcentral lists this long non-coding RNA (4342 nucleotides) under Marmota monax (woodchuck). Lineage: Eukaryota; Metazoa; Chordata; Mammalia; Rodentia; Sciuridae. The record is from RNAcentral.
AUUUUGUGUAUUAUAUACAAUGUAAAUUAUAUGCUAUUUUAUCAUGUGCUCCAACUCAGUCAAAAAUAUGCAGUUCUUUCAUGUCACUGAGCAUCGUGUUUCAGAUAUAUGUGAGUUAGCUGGAAGGAUGAAAGAUAGCAUACUUUAAUCAGACCCACCACAUGGUCCAGCUGAAUUGAGCCCUCAACCCUAGGCUGUUAAAGGUAAAAAGACUUAUUUCCUAGUUAUGGUACAAAAGUUUAGUGCUAGUGUGGGCAACGUAGCAAGACCUGUCUCUUAAAAAGUGUGUGUGUGUAGGGAGAGGGCAGGGGAGUGGCAGGCAUAUGACAAUAAUUAGAGCAGGCCUCACUGAGAAGGUCUGAUCCCAGAGAGGAUGCAGAAGGAUCAGGAGGGAGCCGGGAGAAUGUUCUGGGCAGAGGGAAAGCUUGAUGGAGACUGGUUUGGAGCUGAAGGAGUAAGAGGGGAGCAGCAGGGGAGGGGUGCCUUUAUUCCACUGUAAGGACUUUGUCUUCAUUUUUAAAUAGGGAGUCGUGGCAAACUCCUUUGUCUAAGUUUCCAGGGAGUGAUGUGUUCAAGCAAGGGAAGAGCAGGCUGCAGAUCCCAGGCCAAUAUAAUCAGCCAAACAACAGAUGGUAGUGGCUUGGAUAAAGGUAGUAGAUGGUAGUAGAGGGUAGUAGUGGAUAUGUAGGAAGUGAUUGGAUUCUAGAUUUUUUUUUUUUAAACUGGGGUUGCCUCACACAUACUAGGCAAACACUCUAUCACUGGGCUAUAUUCCCAGCAUUUCAAAAAAAAUUUUUUUUUUUUUUUUUUAGACAGGGUCUCAUUAAGUCACCCAGUCUGACCUCUAACUUGCAGUCUCCUGACUCAGCCUCCCAAAUCACUGGAAUCACAGGUAUGAGCCACAGGGCCCAGCUCUAGAUACUUAUUUUGAAGGUUGAGCCAGCUUGAUCUGCUGAUAGAUUAGUUGUGGGUGUUAGAGAAGAGUCAAGUUCAGUCCAAAGUUUUGACAAUAGAAAACAGCCAAAAGCUGUAGGAAAAUGGUCGUGACUUGACUUUCUUCCAUCUUCCAAUCUCAAUUGGUACAAACUAAUUCACAUCCAGAACUCUACUGCAAGGGAUUUAGGGAAAUGUUAGUAUUUUGCUUUCUAGCCCCUGAAGUCUAGGUUGACAUUUAUAAAGGAGAAGGAGCCUAGAGGAUGGUGAGUUCUGCCUACCGUAUCCUCUGCAGUUGAGGCACCAGUCCAAAGCUGGAAUGUGGCCCUGUUGUGCUGUCUUCCAAAGGAAAGCAGCCCCCAUAGCUAGACCCACCACACUCAGAGUGACUCACAAACAUUUGCACAAUAUUUUUCACAUGACUUCUUCUGGAAAUGUCUCUUAUGUUGUACCUCAGUACCUAAAUUAGAAGCUUAUCUUUGGACUACAAAAAUUUGCCUAAGCAAUCAUUCCUCAGUUUCUGGAUAUUUAGAUUUUUCUAAUUUUUCACUGUUUUUUAAAAAAUGACGUGAUAAAAACCUUGCUAAAUUGUUGCUGACGUUGUCAACUAUUUUCCUAAGAUUCUUUAUUAAAAAUAGCUUUACUACCCGGGAGUGGUGGUAUGCACCUGUAGUCUCAGGUACUCGGGAGAUUGAAGCAGGAGGAUCAUUUGAGCCAAGUUCCAGACCAACCUGCUGAAAAACACAGCAAGACCCUGUCUCAAAACAAAACAAAACAUCUUUGCUGAGUCAAACUCUGACACUUUUAAGGCUUUUGACAGAUUUUGCCCUCCAGAGUGUUUGCACCUAUUCACAUGCCCAUUAAUAAUGCAUUUGUAAACUUACAUGUGUAAUCAAGAUUCAAUUUUUAAACUAUAUGAACCUUAAAAAAAUGCUCAACCUGCCUUGUGCUCACCCGUCUCUGGGUGGCUGUCUAACCUUCAUCAGCAGGACUGAUGUGCUGAGGACACCCAUUUAUCAGCAGGACUAGUGUGCUAAGGACACCCAGCAACCCAUGGUGGUGUUUCCCAAACUUGUUUUGGGUAGUCAUAUUUACUCUUGUAAUUACAUAAUUUAACUAAGUCAUUAUAUAAACUGAUAAAACUGAGAGCUAAAAGAAAGUCAUUUCUGUCAGAAAUAUGAUAAGUACCUAAUUUUAAGUAAGUAUAUAACUGAUGAAAUAUGAGUGCUAAAAGAAAGAGUUCUUAGUUCUUUGGUACCAAGGAUUGAACUCAGGGGCACUCGACCACUGAGCCACAUCCCCAGCCCUAUUUUGUAGUUUAUUUAGAGACAGGGUCUCACUGAGUUGCUAGUGCAUCGCAGUUGCUGAGGCUGGCUUUGAACUCGCAAUUCUCCUGUCUCAGCCUCCUAAUCUGCUGGGAUUACAGGCAUGCUCCACUGCCCAGCUGAAAGAGUUUUUAGUUCUAUGGAAACUAGGGUAAAUACUUUGGAAACUCAACAAACAUGAGUCACUGAAAAUACUGUUGCAUUCAGUUUAGGCAAUAUGAAUAUAAAUAUAGGAAGGACAUCAUGAACAUCUGGGAUCAUUCUGCACUCAGAUUGCUUCACAAGAUCUCUAAUGCUUUGACUUCUCAAUGCAUUUUUAGAGAAACCAAAAUUGGCGAUCUUAGCAGUGCAUUGCAGAUUCCAUAGAAUGCCAACCAGCAUGCCUAUUUCUUAGAGAAAAAGACUUGUCCCGGCACCAUUGAAUGUCCUUUUUAUGUGUGUUAGGUUAAAAUAUUUAAGACAGAUAUGUUUCUUUUAUUAAGCCAAAGUCUGUUCAAUUUAGAAAAUGGCAUAGGAUCCUCCUAUGUCCUCUGUGACCUCCUGAGUCAUCCCACUCCAGCCACCCAAACCUAUGCUGUUUGUGUCACACAGCAGGCAGGCUCCAUGUUUGGGACUUUUGCAUUCUUUUUCCCACUACCUAGAACCCACUUUCCCCAGGUAUCUUGUUUCUUGAAUUCCUUCAGUUCCUUCAGACUCCCUGACCACCUUUCAUAAAUCAGCAGACUCCCAACCCUGAUGAUCCUUAUGCCUCUUUUCUUGCUUUCUUCUUCUCAAUAGCAUUUGUCAUCAUUUGACUUAUUGUUUCCUUUUUUUUUUUUAAUUUAUUUUUUAGUAUUUGGCAGACACAACAUCUUUGUUUGUAUGUGGUGCUGAGGAUCGAACCCAGGCCGCACACAUGCCAGGCGAGCGCGCUACCGCUUGAGCCACAUCCCCAGCCCUUGUUUCCUUUUUUUAAUCUGGUAUUUCAUCUAGAGCACAAGCUAUAGAGUAGAGAUGGUUUUGUGCAUGACUUUUCCCCCAGUGCUUAAAAUACUUUCUGGCACAUAACAGGCAUCAAAUAAAUGUUGGUUGAAAGAACACAGGCUCGAAGAUUACAUGGGAAAGUUGUGUGUGCUCAAGAAUUUUUACAUUUCUGCACAAACAUGCAAGUGAGAAAGUUGAUAUGACUGGACAGUCUCCUAGAUUCCUCCUAGGGAAAGAAUGCCCAUUACUCUCUAGGGAGAAGAAAGGAUCAGGCUGACCUUGUGGGUAAACCUUUGCACCAGUUUAAUGUACUGUCUUCAUGGUUUCCCCUGGUGAGUGAACAGUUGGCACUGGCGUUAUACACAAAUGUGCUGUGUGCUCAUAAACACCAAAGGGAGUUAUACCAAUCAGGAAUUGCAGCAUAUAGAGAUGUGCUCUUAUCUUCAGGACCCCAGAAUCCUAGUGACUUUGAGCUAAACAUGUUUGGUUGUUCAUUUUCCUGUUUGGAACAUGUGUCCAAGAGAGGCAGUGUCCACCUGAAGUGCCCCUAUAGGGGUGUUGAAUUUGUUACCUCCUUGAUGUGGCUAAGAAGUAAGUAUGCUCCUUUUGAAAAGCAGUUCCUAACUUGCUACUGGGUUUUCAUCAAAACUGAACACCUCACAAUACCUAAACUAUGGAACCAACACAGAUACCCUCAACAGAUGAAUGGAUAAAUAAAAUGUGGUAUAUAUGCACAAUGGAAUAUUAAUCAGCCUUAAAGAAGAAUGAAUUUAUGGCAUUUGCAGGUAAAUGGAUAGAGCUGGAGAAUAUCAUGCUAAGUGAAAUAAGCCUAUCACAAAAAAUAUAAAGGCCCAAUGUUUUCUCUAAUAUGCAGAUGCUAAUUCACAAUGUGGGGUGGCUAGGGGAAAAUAGAGGUACUUUGCAUUAGAGGGGAGCGAAGGGAGGGGAGGAAAGAUAGUAGAAUGAAUCAGACAUUAUUACCUUAUAUGCAUAUUAUGAUUAUACAACCAGUGUAAUUCUACAUUAUGUACAACCAGAAGAAUGAGAUGUUAUGCUCCAUUUAUGUAUGAUGUGUCAAAAUGCAUUCUACCAUCAUGUAUAACUAAUUAGAACAAAUAAAA